GAUGAACGCUGGCUACAGGCUUAACACAUGCAAGUCGAGGGGAAACGCCGGGGAAGCUUGCUUCCCCGGGCGUCGACCGGCGCACGGGUGAGUAACGCGUAUCCAACCUGCCUCUGACUGAGGGAUAACCCGUCGAAAGUCGGCCUAAUACCUCAUGGCAUCGUCUGCGGGCAUCCAACGACGAUUAAAGAUUUCAUCGGUCAGGGAUGGGGAUGCGUCUGAUUAGCUUGUUGGCGGGGUAACGGCCCACCAAGGCUACGAUCAGUAGGGGUUCUGAGAGGAAGGUCCCCCACAUUGGAACUGAGACACGGUCCAAACUCCUACGGGAGGCAGCAGUGAGGAAUAUUGGUCAAUGGGCGGGAGCCUGAACCAGCCAAGUAGCGUGCAGGAAGACGGCCCUAUGGGUUGUAAACUGCUUUUAUGCGGGGAUAAAGUGAGGGACGUGUCCUUCAUUGCAGGUACCGCAUGAAUAAGGACCGGCUAAUUCCGUG
This 491-nucleotide ribosomal RNA is filed under the name uncultured bacterium. Its description in RNAcentral is "partial 16S ribosomal RNA". It matches the Rfam family "Bacterial small subunit ribosomal RNA", at positions 28 to 507 of the family's 1533-position model. The record is from RNAcentral.